GAAUUCAUGGAAUUCAGCCGGAGAUGGACAACGUUCGCGAAGUGUGGAGUGCCUCUUUCAGUAAACAAGUUUUCCGAAGAACUAACCUUGUUGAUCCCAGGCAAGCCCCGGUGCAUUUAUACCUAUCUAUUUUAGAGUCGUUAUUUCAUGUGACUAGUUAUAGGUUAUUUGUUUAUUGCAUGCACUAAGUCUAGGAGUUGGAUGAAACCUAUUCUUGUGUAUGAUCAUGCCUUGUUUUAAGGACAUCUUUGCCACUUGUUCAAACCUUAGAAGACAACCCAAGUCUAGAAAUGCUUA
Molecule: long non-coding RNA, 297 nt
Filed under: Setaria italica (foxtail millet)
Lineage: Eukaryota; Viridiplantae; Streptophyta; Magnoliopsida; Poales; Poaceae
Description: long non-coding RNA (SITA_LNC007501)
Source: RNAcentral